RNAcentral lists this ribosomal RNA (821 nucleotides) under uncultured bacterium. Its description in RNAcentral is "bacterial SSU rRNA". It matches the Rfam family "Bacterial small subunit ribosomal RNA", at positions 50 to 866 of the family's 1533-position model. The record is from RNAcentral.
UACACAUGCAAGUCGAGGGGCAGCAUUGGAGUAGCAAUACUUCAGAUGGCGACCGGCGCACGGGUGAGUAACACGUAUCCAACCUGCCGCUUACUCGGGGAUAGCCUUUCGAAAGAAAGAUUAAUACCCGAUGGUAUAAAGAGUUCGCAUGUUCUCUUUAUUAAAGAAUUUCGGUAAGCGAUGGGGAUGCGUUCCAUUAGAUAGUUGGCGGGGUAACGGCCCACCAAGUCUACGAUGGAUAGGGGUUCUGAGAGGAAGGUCCCCCACAUUGGAACUGAGACACGGUCCAAACUCCUACGGGAGGCAGCAGUGAGGAAUAUUGGUCAAUGGACGAGAGUCUGAACCAGCCAAGUAGCGUGAAGGAUGACUGCCCUAUGGGUUGUAAACUUCUUUUAUAAGGGAAUAAAGUGAGGGACGUGUCCCUUUUUGUAUGUACCUUAUGAAUAAGGAUCGGCUAACUCCGUGCCAGCAGCCGCGGUAAUACGGAGGAUCCAAGCGUUAUCCGGAUUUAUUGGGUUUAAAGGGAGCGUAGGUUGACAUAUAAGUCAGCUGUGAAAGUUUACGGCUCAACCGUGAAAUUGCAGUUGAUACUGUAUGUCUUGAGUGUACAAGAGGUGGGCGGAAUUCGUGGUGUAGCGGUGAAAUGCUUAGAUAUCACGAAGAACUCCAAUUGCGAAGGCAGCUCACUGGGGUACAACUGACACUGAGGCUCGAAAGUGUGGGUAUCAAACAGGAUUAGAUACCCUGGUAGUCCACACAGUAAACGAUGAAUACUCGCUGUUUGCGAUAUACAGUAAGCGGCCAAGCGAAAGCAUUAAGUA